This 468-nucleotide long non-coding RNA is filed under the name Sinocyclocheilus grahami. RNAcentral describes it as "lncRNA (ENSSGRG00000018896.1)". The record is from RNAcentral. Lineage: Eukaryota; Metazoa; Chordata; Actinopteri; Cypriniformes; Cyprinidae.
UAUGACAUAACAUUAACUUUUAUAAUAAUUUAAUUAUUUCAUUAGGUCCAUCCUCUGCAGGUGAGGAGCACUUACCAACACCUGCAUCCACUGAUCCUGCUGUUCCUUCCAUGUCUGUUUCAACCUCAACAGAUGUGGCAGGUCAUUCUAUUUGUGGUCAUUGGUGUCAAUGUCACAUGCACUCCCUUAGCAACUUUUAGCCUACACUAUGGAUCAACAGCUCCUCCAGUUGACCAGCGGCGUGGUCAUCUAUCCUGUCCGACUCAUAAAGGACUGAUCUGGAUCUUGUCUUCAGUCAUCUGCUACCUGCCCUCUGUGUGUUCGUUCCUGCAUCUGCAAGAUAGGCAUUCAGCUAAGUCAUAGCAAGCUCCAUUGAGCUGCCAUACCUAAUGUUGCUUCAUUCUCGUAUCUGUUUGGUGUCAGCAGUUCAAUAAACCGGUUUUUCAUUAGCUGUCUGUCGUCGUCUUU